Molecule: long non-coding RNA, 1271 nt
Organism: Clupea harengus (Atlantic herring)
Lineage: Eukaryota; Metazoa; Chordata; Actinopteri; Clupeiformes; Clupeidae
Source: Ensembl
CAGGCCCCCACUGUUGCUCUCCCUCGCUCCCGAAAGGACAAGCUGCCUGCAGUCGGUGCAAUCAUCGCCAGGCUGACAGUCUUCUGAAGACCACAGCUGCGCAUGAAAGACACUGUUAUGCUUACAACAAAAGGCAGAGAUAUGGAAAAAUUGCAAUUCAUGACUUGGCCGGACCCGGAGAAAAUGUGUAGGAAAUGAGCCCGGACCCGUAGGGACUGCAGCUGUGACAUCAUCAGCCUCCCACCUGCCUCCACAGCUAAGCUCUUCAUUAAGAGCCCCCUCAUAUCCGCCCUGAAGGGGCACGAGGGCAAGAAGCCUGCCUAACCCCACAGCCAGGUCCUCUCACAUCCAUCCAAAGAGGUGGGACCCUAGGGAGUCAUCCAACCCCUCAGCCAGGACGAGGGCGGGUGGCGUGUGGCGGGGAGGGAGGCAGUGCUCGAGCGCGUGGAGAGGAGGCCACUCUGCGGGGUCAUCCGCGGCUGAUUACUGCCGAGACGUGAGCGUCAGGAGCUAAUGACAGGCACCCGGGGAGGGUGCCAGAUGGUCCUGUCGUCCCUGACGCCACAGGGGCUCCCUGGCAACGGCUGCCGUGGAAACGUUUCAGCACACUUCAGUGGCACUUCCCUUUCACCUCUGUGGAGUGACAGAGGCAGCUAGAGGCAGGGGAGGCAGGGGAGGCACGCCCAGUGAUGGGGAGUGACAGAGGCGGCUGGAGGGGUGAGGAUGUCCCUCAUAGGCACCACUACUUCUUGUUCAUGUCAUUUUGGAGAUGUGUGACACCCACACCCUCUGUAAGGGGGGACCUAUCAGAUCACAAAAGAAGCCCUGUGCUCUACUGGGGAGGUCUGGGGAGGGAGAUAGGACACGAGGAGGUGUUUGUGUGUAUGUGUGUUUGUGUGUGUGUGUGUGUGUGUGUGUGUGGGUGUAUGUGUGUGUGUGUCUGUGUGUGUGUUUGUGUGUGUGAGUGCGUGUGUGUGUGGAGCACUAUGUCUCCGAGCUCCCCUGAGCACAGUGGAGAGUGAUGCAUUAUGGGUCUGGUAAUGAACUGCUAACAAUAAUGAGGGUGAUUAUUGCUGCCAUUAUCCAUGCUCUUUAUUCUGUACGCAAUGUCAAAUAAAAAUGGUGCCUUGAUGGCCGGAUGAAAAUGUUUCAUUUCAGAGGAAAACAAAGUUUUUUGAUGGCUCUCUAAAGGCUUCUGGCCUCUAUUGACAUUGUGUGCAGUUAUUUCAUGCUGUGAGUGAAAUGAAAACACACACACACAUACACACACA